GCCGAGUUGCUCACGUGACCGAGAUCUCACAUGACGUAGGCGCUCACGUGAUCAAUCGCUUACGUGAGCAGAAGUAGUUCUGGUCGUCGUCUAUCGUCUCGCUAUAGCCCUUUGAGGGAAGAAGAAGGAAAAUCCUCCGGUCUCGUUGGAGUGCUGCAAGCAGACAUUUUUUAAGUCUUUCUGUCGACCAGAUUCGUGGAAGAAACUCUAGCAGGGUCAAAGGGUAUGUGAAUUUUUAUUUUUAUUUUUUUUACAUAAAUGGUUUUGAUCAUGAAUC
Molecule: long non-coding RNA, 277 nt
Organism: Meriones unguiculatus (Mongolian gerbil)
Lineage: Eukaryota; Metazoa; Chordata; Mammalia; Rodentia; Muridae
Source: Ensembl